Molecule: ribosomal RNA, 620 nt
Filed under: uncultured Bacteroidota bacterium
Lineage: Bacteria; Pseudomonadati; Bacteroidota
Description: bacterial SSU rRNA
Rfam family: Bacterial small subunit ribosomal RNA
Source: RNAcentral
UGAGGAAUAUUGGGCAAUGGAGGCAACUCUGACCCAGCUAUGCCGCGUGCAGGAAGACGGCCCUCUGGGUUGUAAACUGCUUUUGUUUGGGAAUAAACCCUUCUACGUGUAGGAGGCUGAAGGUACCUUACGAAUAAGCAUCGGCUAACUCCGUGCCAGCAGCCGCGGUAAUACGGAGGAUGCAAGCGUUAUCCGGAUUUAUUGGGUUUAAAGGGUCCGUAGGCGGAUUUUUAAGUCAGUGGUGAAAGCCCACAGCUCAACUGUGGAACUGCCAUUGAUACUGGAGAUCUUGAGUGUAGUAGAAGUAGGCGGAAUAGGGCAUGUAGCGGUGAAAUGCAUAGAUAUGCCCUAGAACACCGAUUGCGAAGGCAGCUUACUAUGUUACAACUGACGCUGAGGGACGAAAGCGCGGGGAGCAAACAGGAUUAGAUACCCUGGUAGUCCACGCUGUAAACGAUGAUUACUCGCUGUUGGCGACAUACAGUCAGCGGCCAAGCGAAAGCAUUAAGUAAUCCACCUGGGGAGUACGCCGGCAACGGUGAAACUCAAAGGAAUUGACGGGGGCCCGCACAAGCGGUGGAGCAUGUGGUUUAAUUCGAUGAUACGCGAGGAACCUUACC